AGACCCCUUGAAGACGACAAGGUGGAUAGGUUAGAGGUGGAAGUGUGGUAACACAUGUAGCUGACUAAUACUAAUAGGUCGAGGGCUUGACCUA
RNAcentral lists this ribosomal RNA (94 nucleotides) under Anaerocolumna cellulosilytica. RNAcentral's name for it is "partial 23S ribosomal RNA". It matches the Rfam family "Bacterial large subunit ribosomal RNA", at positions 2831 to 2925 of the family's 2925-position model. The record is from RNAcentral. Lineage: Bacteria; Bacillati; Bacillota; Clostridia; Lachnospirales; Lachnospiraceae.